Molecule: long non-coding RNA, 1873 nt
Filed under: Androctonus crassicauda
Lineage: Eukaryota; Metazoa; Arthropoda; Arachnida; Scorpiones; Buthidae
Source: RNAcentral
AAACACUCCACCAUCAAUAAAUAACGAUUUUUAAGCCAUAAAAUAAACAUUGGAAAUUUAGCUUCCCCCUUUUCUACUACUUUGUGAUGGGAUAUCGAGUUUCCCAACCACUCGAGUGAAGUCUCGAUAACAUCUGUAAAUUUCAGCUUUCUAGGUCAUAGGGAAGUCAAAUUCUGGCCAACAAUACGCGUACUUACAUACAUUACAACGGUCCGUAAGCGUUUCAUAUAUACUAUAGACAUUACUGUCGAUAACACAGUACUAUUGCCAAUAUUUUUCAAUUAUUUAUAAGAAUGUUUCAUGGACAAAGACGCGAGUUGAAUAGAUUCAUUUGGUAAAAUAGAGAAAUGAAGAAGGUGAAACUUUGUUCACCCACUUCUCGCCACCUGUUGUUAAUAACUCGUAUUACGUAUCGAACUGUUUAAUAGAUUUUUACGAAACAGCGCGAAACCAUCUCCACCAUUCGACCAAUCUAUUCUUCGUAUCUUGGAUUCUGUUAAAAUCUGGACGUUUUCCCUAAUAACUUUUUAACUGUCUGGAUUUUUAUCGAAAUUCAAUAAGAGUUAGGCCUUAGGAUGGAAAUACAGUUAACUAACUAUAUAGCUUAAACCAUUUAAAAAUGAUGGAAAUUCCGAGUUCUAGGGUUUUUGCCUAAUACAGUAACCCUUGGAUAAAUCUUACAACUCCGAUGGUAGAUAUCACUCUCCGCCUACAGAUAUUAUCAAUACUUUAACGAAAGAUGUCGAGGGACUGAAACUAAGCGGACUAUGUAAAAACCAGGCUAAACCUCUGGAAAAAAUUUCUUCCACUUCAUAGAUUAUCGAUUCUAAUAUAGCUGUAAAUAAUUUUCUGAAUAAAUAUAGCUGAAAAUAAAAUUCUGAAUAAAUAUACCAGCGCCUUUGACCAUCGUGUUAAUAAAAUUACAGAACAAAAUGCUGUAUUGUAAUUCGAGACCAUCUUACAGCAUUAAAUUUCGUUCGGAUUUUGUCCAAUGGCCGAUUAGUUCCACCAACCAUAAAGAAAGUGGCCAUUUACUAGUCAAAACAGAUAAACGCAUUACAAAAAUUCGGAAGAAAACAUACGCCUGUUACUAAUAUUAUUAUUAAUAUUAGUGAAAAUGAUCAUGGGAAUACAGAGAAUAAAUCUAGUAGUGGCUAUUCAGCCAUAAAAUGCGCGGUGGUAGAACCAACUAUAAUAAUUCAGGUAGUUGUGGUAGGAAAUUCGGGUUAUGUAUCGAUAACGGGAAAAACUAUGAUACUGGUGAUACCGAAACUAUCUGUUCUACCAGCCAGAAUCGGAAGAUAGUAGUAGAAGUAUCCAAUUGGCUUUCUUUCGCAUCGUUAUUUUCUGUCAAAAUCGCGUCAGGCUUAAGGCAGAAAGUAUAGUUAAGCCAGAAUCCGAUUAUCCGGGACCCGUCCGCGCUAUCCUACGCGCAGAAAAUUUUAAUAACGAAAAGUGCCUGGCCAAUGGGUUAUUAGCCGCUCCCAUAUAAAAUAUUUAAGGCUAAUAGCCGACCGAUUAAGAAAUCGACCAAUAAGGACACCGGUGUGAAAGAACGUAAUUAUUGCGCAAGCAAAACUUAGUUUCCAAAAAAUUUUUAUACUGUAUCUAGAAUGCCGAAGAAUCUUUAGAGGAAUAUUUUUCCUCGGAAAAUCUUCUAGGUUUAAGAACCAGAUAAUGAGAUCUAUUUUUCCUGGCUAAUUUUCUUCUGUUCGGUUAGAAAAACAUCAAAAUAUAUAUAGUUUUGAUUUUUUUCUUUUGCGGCCGUUUGGAUUUGUCCAGACACACAAUUUUCAGAUGUCUGUUGCUAGCUUAUCUUUAAAGCUGUGUGCGAAAAAUUAUGAUUUUUGCACAAAAAAUUAAUCAUCCAGAG